This 386-nucleotide long non-coding RNA is filed under the name Citrus maxima (pomelo). RNAcentral describes it as "long non-coding RNA (CMAX_LNC002299)". The record is from RNAcentral. Lineage: Eukaryota; Viridiplantae; Streptophyta; Magnoliopsida; Sapindales; Rutaceae.
CGACGAUAGGAGGUUCUUCGGUUUGGGAGAGAUGGGAGAAAGAGAGAUUGUUGGGGGAGAGAUGAGAGAGAGGGGUAUUUUAGUCUCAAAGGCUUUUUUUAUGGCUAAUGUUGAUAGAAAUUUGUUUGGGGGGUUAAGAUGAAAAAAGCCAAAAUUUUUAUGGCUAUUGGUGUAAAUUUCCCCAAGAAAAUGUAGCUGCAGAAACACAUAAAAAUAAUAUGUGAAAAUGUAGCUGCAGAAACACAUAAAAAUAAUAUGUCACAGAAGGCAUCGACUCGCACCAUGCUAAAUAGAUAGCAAUUGUCCAAUCCUUGUUAACAAAUAUAAACAAAAUUCAAACAUCUAAUAAGAAGCUUGCGGGGCUGCAAAACAAAACUCGAAAUCCA